UAGUAACGGCGAGUGAAGAGGGAAAAGCUCAAAUUUUGAAUCUGGUGUCUUWGGCGCCAGAGUUGUAAUCUAGAGAAGUGUUUUCCGCUUUGGACCGUGUACAAGUUCCCUGGAACGGGGCGUCAUAGAGGGUGAGAAUCCCGUAUAUGGCACGGACUACCAAUGCUCUGUGAUACACUCUCAACGAGUCGAGUUGUUUGGGAAUGCAGCUCAAAAUGGGUGGUAAAUUCCAUCUAAAGCUAAAUAUUGGCGAGAGACCGAUAGCGAACAAGUACCGUGAGGGAAAGAUGAAAAGCACUUUGGAAAGAGAGUGAAACAGUACGUGAAAUUGUUGAAAGGGAAGCGUUUGAASUCAGUCAUAUCUGGCGGRAUUCAGCSUGGCUUUUGCCUGGUGURCUUUCCGUCCCGAUGGGUCAGCAUCAAUUUUGAUCGAGGGAAAAAGAUGUUCGGAAUGUGGCUGUCUUCGGGCAGUGUUAUAGCCUUGCGUUGUAUGUCUCGGUUGGGAUUGAGGAGUCCAGCGCGCCCUAUAGGCCGGGGGCUAACGCCUUCGACACGCGCUUAGGAUGCUG
RNAcentral lists this ribosomal RNA (569 nucleotides) under uncultured sebacinoid mycobiont of Lophozia incisa. RNAcentral describes it as "eukaryotic LSU rRNA". It matches the Rfam family "Eukaryotic large subunit ribosomal RNA", at positions 81 to 628 of the family's 3401-position model. The record is from RNAcentral. Lineage: Eukaryota; Fungi; Basidiomycota; Agaricomycetes; Sebacinales; Sebacinaceae.